UUAGGUAUAAGUUGAUUGCUUGAUUUUCUGGCGUUUGCUCUGUGUCCUCUUUACAGUGAGACAACAGACGAUGAACAGUUUGGGAAAUUACUGGAGAAAGUUGCAGUUUACCACGUCCACUAGCUUGACCCAUGCAUGGG
Long non-coding RNA from Dendronephthya gigantea, 140 nucleotides. RefSeq lists it as uncharacterized. Lineage: Eukaryota; Metazoa; Cnidaria; Anthozoa; Malacalcyonacea; Nephtheidae. The record is from RefSeq and is a predicted model, not a curated record. The transcript has 3 exons.